RNAcentral lists this ribosomal RNA (619 nucleotides) under Trichosporon asahii. RNAcentral describes it as "eukaryotic LSU rRNA". The stretch from base 203 to 356 matches the Rfam family "5.8S ribosomal RNA". Lineage: Eukaryota; Fungi; Basidiomycota; Tremellomycetes; Trichosporonales; Trichosporonaceae. The record is from RNAcentral.
UAAAUUAAUAGGCCCAAAAAAGGCCAUCCCCCCUAACUUCCCCUCUCCGCUGGGGGGGUGGAUGCGGAAGGAUCAUUAGUGAUUGCCUUUAUAGGCUUAUAACUAUAUCCACUUACACCUGUGAACUGUUCUACUACUUGACGCAAGUCGAGUAUUUUUACAAACAAUGUGUAAUGAACGUCGUUUUAUUAUAACAAAAUAAAACUUUCAACAACGGAUCUCUUGGCUCUCGCAUCGAUGAAGAACGCAGCGAAUUGCGAUAAGUAAUGUGAAUUGCAGAAUUCAGUGAAUCAUCGAAUCUUUGAACGCAGCUUGCGCUCUCUGGUAUUCCGGAGAGCAUGCCUGUUUCAGUGUCAUGAAAUCUCAACCACUAGGGUUUCCUAAUGGAUUGGAUUUGGGCGUCUGCGAUUUCUGAUCGCUCGCCUUAAAAGAGUUAGCAAGUUUGACAUUAAUGUCUGGUGUAAUAAGUUUCACUGGGUCCAUUGUGUUGAAGCGUGCUUCUAAUCGUCCGCAAGGACAAUUACUUUGACUCUGGCCUGAAAUCAGGUAGGACUACCCGCUGAACUUAAGCAUAUCAAGCGUGGGGGGAAAGAGGCACAGGAUGGCCUUUUAGGCUUAA